CUGGGGGUGGGGGUGUGGGGGUGUGGGGGGGAACGGUUUCAUUUUGGAAAAAUAAACAGAGCAUAAACAAAAUAUAUGUACAUAAUUAAGGAAAUUUGGAAAUAAUAGUAAUUUGGUAAUUAAUAAUAAAAGUAGGAAUGAGCGAGAAAGUAAAAAAAAAGAACCUGCAGAGAGAGACUGGAAUGCAACGUAGCAAAAAUACUGUCAUUGUAAAAACAUUGGCAAAAACACACUUAUUACGAAUACAACAGCUAACAGAAGCUUAUAUUUUCCAUGUGUAUACUUAUAUACAAGUAAAAAACAAAAAAAAAAAAAAAAAAACAUGCAUAGUUUCUGUUUUAUGGUAUUUAAUAGUACCAAGUCGUAUCAGAUUUUAGAACAUUCAUAUCGAAGUAAGCUAAUAGGAUUUUACACAGCUUAGUCGCAUCAGUUUCUUUUAGCAUAUGAUAAAAUUAUUACUAAAAACAUAUAAUGAAAUAUAAUGACUCAGAAGCUCUGAAUGACCCAAUAAUUGGUCCUAAGCAACUUGGAACAAUUUAGAGUUUCAGUUUGGAAGUGAAAUGCAGAGUGGAGUAUUGUAGAGUAUAGAGGAGUGGAGCAGAGUAUUUUAGAGUAUUAUGGAGGAGAGUAUUGUAGAGUGGAGUAGAAUAGAGUAUGUAUAGUGGAGCAGAAUAUUGUAGAGUAUAGUAGAGCAGAGCAUUGUAGCGUAGAGCAGAGUAUUGUAGAGCAGAGUAUUGUAAAGUAGAGCAGAGUGUUGUUAAGUAGAGCAGAGUGUUGUAGAGUAGAGCAGAGUAUUGUAGAGCAGAGUAUUGUAAAGUAGAGCAGAGUAUUGUAGAGUAGAGCAGAGUAUUGUAGAGCAGAGUAUUGUAAAGUAGAGCAGAGUGUUGUUAAGUAGAGCAGAGUGUUGUAGAGUAGAGCAGAGUAUUGUAGAGCAGAGUAUUGUAAAGUAGAGCAGAGUGUUGUUAAGUAGAGCAGAGUGUUGUAGAGAUAGAGCAGAGUAUUGUAGAGCAGAGUAUUGUAAAGUAGAGCAGAGUGUUGUAGAGCAGAGUAUUUAGAGUAGAGCAGAGUAUUGUAGAGCAGAGUAUUGUAGAGCAGAGUAUUGUAGAGUAGAGCAGAGUAUUGUAGAGUAGAGCAGAGUAUUGUAGAGCAGAGUAUUGUAAAGUAGAGCAGAGUGUUGUAGAGUAGAGCAGAGUAUUGUAGAGUAGAGCAGAGUAUUGUAGAGUAGAGCAGAGUAUUGUAGAGCAGAGUAUUGUAGAGUAGAGCAGAGUGUUUGUAGAGCAGAGUAUUGUAAAGUAGAGCAGAGUAUUGUAAAGUAGAGCAGAGUAUUGUAAAGUAGAGCAGAGUGUUGUAGAGUAGAGCAGAGUAUUGUAGAGCAGAGUAUUGUAGAGUGGAGCAGAGUGUGUAGAGUAGAGCAGAGUAUUGUAGAGCAGAGUGUUGUAGAGUAGAGCAGAGUAUUGUAGAGUAGAGCAGAGUAUUGUAGAAGCAGAGUGUUGUAGAGUAGAGCAUUGUAGAGUAGAGCAGAGUAUUGUAGAGUAGAGCAGAGUAUUGUAGAGUAGAGCAGAGUAUUGUAGAGCAGAGUGUAGCAGAGUAUUGUAGCAUGGAACAGAGUACUAUAGAGUAGAGAAGAACAGAGUAUUGUAGAGCAGAGUAUUGUAGCGUGGAACAGAGUACUGUAGAGCGGAGCAGAGUAUUGUAGAGCGGAGCAGAGUAUUGUAGAGCGGAGCAGAGUAUUGUAGAGCGGAGCAGAGUAUAGUAGAGCAGAGUAUAGUAGAGCAGAGUGAAGUAGAGUAUUGUAGAGUGGAAUAGAGUGGAGCAGAGUAUUGUAGAUUAGAGUGGAGUGGAGUAGAGUAUUGUACAGUAGAGUGGAACAGAGUAGAGUGGGUCACUCCAGAUCUUCUGUAUGUUCAGUAAGGCACUAAUAUACUGGCUUAGGGCACUUCACUAGUGCACUGCAAAGGGAAAAUUUCGGAAAUCUGGCUCAAUUUCCCUACGCGCGAUAUGUACAGCAAUGAAAAGAAAGAAAACGACACAAAUCGCAAGAAAAGAAUGUAAAUAAAAAGACGCACUGAAGUGCUAGUGUGUGAUCAUUUUAAUAUGAUUCACUUCUUCGACAAACCUGAACACGUUGUUAGUGCUCAAUAAUUUAAUGGCCGCGUUCUACAAAAGCCGAAGCCUCACAAUGAACGCCACCUUGGCUUCUAGUCACACAUCCCUGCAGCCUUACAUUGUUCUCUGUACACUGAAGACUACAGUGUACUACUUAACAUUACUGCGUUAGGUGUUACGGAUCUGUUCAAAUCUGUUUCUCAAAAACGUCACGGUGUCAAUUAGGCCGAUAAUCAGCUGUGUUAUAUACACAGUACAGUCCCCUCCAAAAGUAUUGGAACGGCAAGGCCAAUUCUAUUGUUUUCGCUGUACACUGAAGACAUUCGGGUUUGAGAUCAAAAGAUGAAUAAGACCGGCUUUUAUUUUCCUCAUGUUUACAUCCAGAUGUCUUAAACAACGCAGAACCUUUUGUUUGAAUCCACUCAUUUAUUCAAGCGGUCAAAAUAUUCAACAUGUGACAGAUAGGCAUUUCAUGCUGCUCAGGUGUGCCCUGUUAAACUAAUUGUGUAUAGAAUUAAUAAUCGCUGAACGUCUACUCUUGUUUCGAGCCCUAGGUUUCACCUGAUAAGACUGCAUUUGUUGUUCAAAAGGAUAAACCAACACGAAGACCUGAGAGCUGUCUAUGGGAGAAAA
Molecule: long non-coding RNA, 2739 nt
Organism: Ictalurus punctatus (channel catfish)
Lineage: Eukaryota; Metazoa; Chordata; Actinopteri; Siluriformes; Ictaluridae
Source: Ensembl